UACGAGUGCUCCAAGCGUUAUCCGGAAUCAUUGGGCGUAAAGGGUGUGUAGGUGGUCAUGUUAGUCUUCUGUCAAAUUCUUCGGCUUAACCGGGGGUCCGCAGGGGAAACGGCAUGACUUGAGGAUGCGAGAGGUGAACGGAACUCAUGGAGUAGGGGUGAAAUCCGUUGAUAUCAUGGGGAACACCAAAUGCGAAGGCAGUUCACUGGCGCACUCCUGACACUGAGACACGAAAGCGUAGGUAGCGAAUGGG
Molecule: ribosomal RNA, 253 nt
Filed under: uncultured bacterium
Lineage: Bacteria
Description: partial 16S ribosomal RNA
Rfam family: Bacterial small subunit ribosomal RNA
Source: RNAcentral